RNAcentral lists this transfer RNA (69 nucleotides) under Allorhynchium sp. YN. RNAcentral's name for it is "tRNA-Pro". Lineage: Eukaryota; Metazoa; Arthropoda; Insecta; Hymenoptera; Vespidae. The record is from RNAcentral.
CAAAAAAUAGUUUAAUAAAAAACAUUAAUUUUGGAGAUUAAAAAUAUAUAGAUUUAAAUAUUUUUUUGA